This is a long non-coding RNA of Lycium barbarum (goji berry), 945 nucleotides long. RefSeq lists it as uncharacterized. The record is from RefSeq and is a predicted model, not a curated record. NCBI's taxonomy places the organism in Eukaryota, Viridiplantae, Streptophyta, Magnoliopsida, Solanales, Solanaceae. The transcript has 2 exons.
CUCCUUCUCUCUCCUCCUUUCCCCUUUUCUCUAAAACCCUAAGGCGCCCUUUUGUUUUUCCCUCUCUCAUGCUAGAUAUGGCAAAAAUUCAGACUCCUCAGACUUUUGAUAGUCUUUGCAUGAUCAAAAGUGUGAAACCAUUAAUGUUCAACAUGAUUUCACUCAAAACAUGUUCCAAACAUGACCUGUCCUAUUUAUUCCAAGCCUAUAUGUGGAUAUGUAAAUCUAUGUCCUCCGUGGCUGUGUUGGUUGGGAGAGGCAGUUUAAAGAGCGGUGGGCUUGGUCGGAACCUUUCCCUGGGGACCAGGCAUGCCGGAGGUUCAUAAAACCCCUUGGAACUUGUGCGGCAUCAGGAACAAGGAUGGUGAUGGCUUUUCCUCCCCACCACCCAAGUCUUUUCAGAUGAGUUUAAAGACAUGGAAGUGCAUAUGCAUACUACAUGUACUUGUGAAUAAAUAGGAUACUAUGUUUGUAUGUGUGUACCUUUAUGCAUAUGAUAGAACUUGUAAGUGAAUAGGAUACUGUGUAUGUAUGUGUGUAUAGCUAUACAUAUGAUAAGAUCAGUAAAAUAUAAACUAACCGGGGUCUUUAUUUCUUUCCUUCUCCACUGCAUGGCCAUUCGGGCUGAGGUCCAGCCACCCUAUUGGGUCAAAGGCCCCUUAAAUUUCCUUCAAAAUUGUUGAGUAUAUGAAGAAAAGAAAAAGGGAAGCUCUAAUAUAAAUAUUGAAGGCCCAGUCAUGGGUGAAAAUGACACGAAGGCCCAACAAUGGGUGAAAAUGGUUACUAGGGGUUUGGUACACCCCUAGUCUAUCCUUCUUAUAUUAUUUAUGCCAUUCCUAUUUUCUUAAAACAUUUUUCUGUAUUGUAUUCAUACUUGUAAAAACCCACAAUAUUAUUGGAAUCGUUUGUGUUUCGAAUUAGGCCUCUUAGGCAAAUGGUGUAUAA